AUUGAACGCUGGCGGCAGGCUUAACACAUGCAAGUCGAGCGGAAACGAUGGGAGCUUGCUCCCAGGCGUCGAGCGGCGGACGGGUGAGUAACACUUAGGAAUCUACCUAGUAGUGGGGGAUAGCUCGGGGAAACUCGAAUUAAUACCGCAUACGUCCUACGGGAGAAAGGGGGCAACUUGUUGCUCUCGCUAUUAGAUGAGCCUAAGUCGGAUUAGCUAGUUGGUGGGGUAAAGGCCUACCAAGGCGACGAUCUGUGGCUGGUCUGAGAGGAUGAUCAGCCACACCGGGACUGAGACACGGCCCGGACUCCUACGGGAGGCAGCAGUGGGGAAUAUUGGACAAUGGGGGCAACCCUGAUCCAGCCAUGCCGCGUGUGUGAAGAAGGCCUUUUGGUUGUAAAGCACUUUAAGCAGUGAAGAAGACCUAACGGUUAAUACCCGUUAGCGAUGACAUUAGCUGCAGAAUAAGCACCGGCUAACUCUGUGCCAGCAGCCGCGGUAAUACAGAGGGUGCAAGCGUUAAUCGGAAUUACUGGGCGUAAAGCGAGCGUAGGUGGCUUGAUAAGUCAGAUGUGAAAUCCCCGGGCUUAACCUGGGAACUGCAUCUGAUACUGUUAGGCUAGAAUAGGUGAGAGGAAGGUAGAAUUCCAGGUGUAGCGGUGAAAUGCGUAGAGAUCUGGAGGAAUACCGAUGGCGAAGGCAGCCUUCUGGCAUCAUAUUGACACUGAGGUUCGAAAGCGUGGGUAGCAAACAGG
This 755-nucleotide ribosomal RNA is filed under the name uncultured bacterium. RNAcentral describes it as "bacterial SSU rRNA". It matches the Rfam family "Bacterial small subunit ribosomal RNA", at positions 28 to 776 of the family's 1533-position model. The record is from RNAcentral.